This 1909-nucleotide unclassified non-coding RNA is filed under the name Hevea brasiliensis (rubber tree). Lineage: Eukaryota; Viridiplantae; Streptophyta; Magnoliopsida; Malpighiales; Euphorbiaceae. The record is from RNAcentral.
CUCUUUAGUUCACCAAAUUUCUUCCCUUUUUUGCUUCCUGAAAUUAGUAAUCAGUGCGAUAUGCACAAAGGGGCGCUUCAAUCUUCGCAUUCUCCGCUGAUUUGGGGUUCGAAUUUUGAGUUAAUAAGUAAAAGGGGUUAACGAAAAACCCAGAGAAAUUUGACGAGAGAUCAUGGAAGAUUCACAUGAAAUACAUUCUGAAGAUGAUAAAGGUCAUGUUGGGAAACUCAAGGCAAGAAUAAUGAAGACACCUGCACAACUUGAAGGUCUUGAGAAAUUCUAUCAGGAGCAUAAGUAUCCUACAGAGUCAAUGAAAUUGGAGGUGGCACAGUCAUUGGGAUUAACAGAAAAGCAGGUUUCUGGGUGGUUUUGUCAUAGGCGGUUGAAAGACAAGAGGCUAUCGAGUCGGGAAACAAAUGCAAAAGGAAGACAAGAUCGUUCAAGCGGUGUCAUUCAGGACCGUGGCAGCGGUUUUAGACAGGAUUCUUGUGGAAGUACUAAGCAAGGAGAUGAUAAAUAUUUUGAUCAUCGGGAAGUUGAGAGUAGAAGAUUAACUGGGCCAGAAGUCUCAACUGCGGAUGUGACGCGUGAAGCUGACACUAGGUAUAGAGCAGAGUCUAACCUCAUGGAGGACACACCUUCAGGAAGUAGCUCUUCCUUACGUGAUGCACGUUUUUCACAAAACGUAGAAUCAUUUGAUAUGGCAACUUCAAGAUACCUACCAGGUAAUGAACCUACUGAUCUCAAGUGUGUGAAACCAAGGACUGGCCCAUCAGGGUAUCUAAAAGUGAAAGCAAAGGUAGAAAAUGCUUCAAUUACUGCUGUGAAGAGGCAAUUGGGAAGUCUCUACCGCCAGGAUGGUCCACUACUUGGUGUAGUAUUUGACCAGCUUCCACAGGGUGCUUUUGAAUCAUCAGUGCAAACUCCUGUUGACGACCCUAUAUAUUCUGGAGAACCUGUUCCAGAUCUUACACCAGAUUUCACUAAAGUCGACAAGCGAUCCAAUUCAUGCAUAGGGUAUGGAUCCAUUUCCAAGAUAAACUCUCAUGGCUCUGAUUUGGAUGGUGCAAACUUAAAAAAGUCAAACAAGUCUUCUCAUCCUGAAUAUUACAUCAACCAAAAGCCUGAUCGGAAUUCCUCUAUGCACAAUGGUGAUCGGUACUAUCUUGGGCGGAACUCGUCGAUAGAGAUGCGCAAAGAUUCUGGAAGAGAAGUGGCAGUUGAUGGCAGAUGCAACUAUAAGCUUAUGGCUAAACAUGAUGGUGCAGCCAAUCCUGGCUCUAGUGGUGGUUUUCAAAGUUCCUACAUUGGAAAAGUCAACAGGGAGCAGGUGACUGCUAGGUUCACUAGCCGUGAUGGCUUGAGCCUUGACAUUGCGGAGGAGGAAGAUCUUCAAUGCAAGCCUUCAAAUUUUGUCCAUAAGGGAAGUAAGCAACAUUAUUGUCCAGAGAGAGAGCUCUCCAGUACAGUUGAAAAGGAUUACAUCCAUGUGGACCGACCAACCGUUGAUGAAGAUUAUAAUGAAGAUCAUGUGAAGAUACAGUGGGAGAAGGAAAUGAGGGUUGCCAAAAGAGCAACGGAUGAGGAAGCUCCUAACCAUCAAGAGUAUGUGAGGAAAGCAUCAGUGACUAGAAUGCCAUCCCAGACAAAUCAUCAGAUAAGUUUUGCUGCAGAGAUGUCAUCUAGCUUUAGUGAAGAUGACAAAACAGAAGAAACCAGUUCUUUUGAGGAUUGAGAGAUUUACAGUUUCCAGAGAAAAGUUAAAAAGUGCAGAAGCUGUAGUGAUUCUUGAAUUCCUAUUUGUUGAUAGCUUAAGUUACUUUGGAUUUGUACAGUUCAAAACAACUUAUAAUGCUCUCAUCAGUACACCAGCAUGUGAAAUUGAACAACUUUGGUCUCUGUACAGUAA